ACCCAUUGGACAAACUGAUGAGGUGAGACAAGGAAGACAUGUGAGGGGUCACUGAAGGUGCGGCAACAACAGGCAGCAUCAUCUACUGAAUAAUACCCAGCCAAGAGGGGUUGGAUCAGCACAACCCUGUAGGUGUGUUAGCAUGUGAAUGAAAGAAGGAUUGUGGGUAAUGCACGUAGUCCUGCUGUAAUACAAGCACAGUGUGCUUUCUUUUUACAAGUGCUUCAGAUUUUGAGCGCCACUCUCUAAUAAAAAGAAGGUAUGACUAUGAUUCAUGGGUAAAAAACAAAAACAAACUUCUCUAAAUUCUGCUUUGCUUCUUCAGUGUGUUAUUUUCAUAUUGUGUAAUUACCCAGAACUCAUUAAGCGAGGGGAAGAAAAUGGGAUUGAUCGGAUGACGGGAAGGUCUCUGGUGUCAAAACACCAAACAGUCACUAAAAAAACCAAAAAAGAAACCUUUACUCUACUGUGCUCAGCGAUGAGGAAGAUGAGCAGCACGAGCUGUACUAACAGAGGGCACAUCUUCACUGCCAACGUAAACAAAGACAUCCAAAGGGGACAAAGUUUCUGUUGCUUUGGCAGUCACAGAACAAGUUCAUAGUCCAGCUAAUUCAGAAAGCCAGAAAAGGAACUGACAGUCAACAGACCGGGCUCUCCUAGUCACAUGACCUGUGUACAACAUUGAGGGACGCAGCUGGGUCAGACGAACAGGACGUGCGUAUGACAGGCAAAGCUGUGCAGGCAAAUAGAUUUUCUGAACAUAUAUUUGUAAAAUAUAACCGACUACAUUACAUGUUUCAAAAACACAUAUUGACAUUGUGUAUCACUUAAUAUUAUCAUUUCUUAUUUUAUUUUGGGCAGGAGGAGGGGCGACGCCCCAUUGCCCUGUAUUGGCCAGCCGCCACUGCAUGACAAGUGUGCUUAGAUGAGUAUUAUGACGAGGACGAAUACGUGAUAAGCGAUUGACGACCACCUUAAACCCGUGUGAAAGGGUCUGCUGCCACUAGUGAGGCUGCCUGCACCUGCUCGUGUUGUGCCGUCAUGUUAUAGGAUAUUUGAUCAAAGAAUUAUCAUGUAAUGCUUUCAGUCAGUCACUGAGGAAUAGUAGAGGUUUGAGACCCAGGGCAGUUUACAUUGCUUAUCUCUGGUCCCCAUAAGGAUACAAUGAACCAGCUUCUUAUUGGAAUCCGACAGAAAAACUCCAUCAAAGAAAAGGAUAUUCUAAUAUCUUAUUCCAAUUAUUACCAAUACAAAAAUCAGCUAAGAUUCUGUGCAGGUUGGGAUCUUUUUCUUUCAAGUUAUUCAAUUUUAAUUUUCUGUACUAUUGUUAUUGUUUGCAAGACAAUAAGUUUGUAACUUAUUUUCAAACUAUACAUCAGCAGACCAUUUUCUGUAACCACUAUAAUGAGUUUGGUACCAAAAUCCUGAAUAUCGCAAAGUACACAGUACAUUUUACCGGAUAUAAAACAGACUGUGAAAAGUGUCCCAAUAUUUUUUUUUUUCAAUUCAAAUUUUUGCUUAGUCUCUGAUCACAACUUGACAGCUAAAAUGUACAAUUGGUGUCUUUUUGGAGUUGCAGGUAGCAACAGUGUUCAGCACCAUCCGAAGAGCUCUCUGGUCCAGCAAGUACAACUCCAACAUCCACAUGAACAGAGCACAAGCCUGUUUGCGGUCAGCCAAACGUGCGCUGGAACCUGAACAUGUGGACGAACGUUAUGUUCAGUCACGAGUCCAGAUUCUGCCAGUUGGAUCGCGGGGUCAAAGCGUGGAGAAGACGCAGAGAACGCGGAUUGCUGCACCGAUGGAGGAGCAUCUUUGGUGGAGCCAGUGUGAUGGAAAAACAACAAAGUCAAUAAAACUUAUAUUUUUAGAAAAUGUAAAUGAGAUGAAGAUGUUAGUUUGUACAGAGUCAUCUCCUCAUCCUCAGAAACACACAACAACCUCUCGCUACGGCCUCAUUGAAUACGCACAGACAAUCGGCUCAGCUCCACUCGAACACCAGCAACUUAACUAAGCACCGUCUCUUUGUGCUCCGUCACCUGGUGCAAACAAUGCAAUGUUUUACCGGCUCAAACGAGGCGGAGCUGGUACCAUCCUGGUCAUGUGCACACACAUGGAAGUGCACGUGCGCCGCGUUGGACACUGAAUGGUCCGUGUGUCCUUCGUGGUCCGCGCUAACAUUUGUUCCUUAAGUGGAACGACAUGACAUCUCACAUGACAUGGUUACGCCGUUUGGUUUAGCAUUUCUUUCUACUGGAUAAAUAGUAUUUUUACUCGGAGUAGACAUUA
Molecule: long non-coding RNA, 2289 nt
Organism: Gasterosteus aculeatus aculeatus (three-spined stickleback)
Lineage: Eukaryota; Metazoa; Chordata; Actinopteri; Perciformes; Gasterosteidae
Source: RefSeq, a predicted model, not a curated record